CUGCAUCCCGUUGUAGAUUUUUCUGGCUUUGCCUGCCCAGCUGCUCCAAGCCAGGCUGGUGAAGGAGGAGUCUGCUGUGGUGAGCUGGAGGUUGGAGCCUGAAGAUGGCACAGCUCUGCAAUUCAUCUGUGGUUGUGGCGGUGACGGUGAUGGAGACUGCAGCUCAACAGGAGCAGGAGGAGGAUACCCAUGGAGGCCAGAUUCCACCGAGGACCCCAUGGAGGAACACCUCAGGGAGAAGAAAAAGGAGGCCCCAUGGAAACUGAAGGUCAAACCCCUGCAUUUGUCUGAGGAAUACAGUUGCUUUCCUAGCUUUAUCUUUCUGAAUGAGCCUAUGAGAUGAGAAUCUGACCGUAUGUAUUAUAGACGACUUACACUGUGUCCUUGGUCGGGUGAAUUCUGAGUAAGAGCCUGUUCCCCAGUGAGGCUUGCUUUUGAAUAGCAGGAUAAAAUGACAGCGUCAGCCACGCACUGCGUGGAGUGAGCUUUUUCCUUAGCAGCUUGAUUCUCUCCUUGGAACAAAAUUACUUAAUUGCCAAGCCACAUGGACUUGGAGGAAACAUAAUUCAAGGAAAUUGUGUCUGUAGCGUGAGGCGGUUUGUCCUGUUCUUUUGUGUUCCUUAGACUUUAACACA
RNAcentral lists this long non-coding RNA (635 nucleotides) under Macaca mulatta (Rhesus monkey). RNAcentral describes it as "lncRNA (ENSMMUG00000062958.1)". The record is from RNAcentral. Lineage: Eukaryota; Metazoa; Chordata; Mammalia; Primates; Cercopithecidae.